CAGUGUGGAGGACCAGCUAGUGCAACUGCCAGCUCGACUUUACCAUCACCAGGAGGCCUUUGAAAAUUGUUCUAAUGUUUUGCAGUCUGCACAUUUCACCCAGGAGUAAAACUUUUGACUUCAAGCAUUUUUGUUCGGUCUCUUAAAUCCUAACGUUCCAGUGAGCAAUUUCAAUGCUUGAACACACGUGCCUAGACUAUU
This 201-nucleotide long non-coding RNA is filed under the name Physcomitrium patens. RNAcentral's name for it is "long non-coding RNA (PPAT_LNC004157)". The record is from RNAcentral. Lineage: Eukaryota; Viridiplantae; Streptophyta; Bryopsida; Funariales; Funariaceae.